GUAAUCUUUUCAGCUUUACAUAUUGCUCCAGUUUGCAGAAGAACUUCCACAUUUGGAAGUGCCAAUUCUGACAUCCUGUUAAAAGUUUUUCAGAUACAUCCCUCAAGUUGUACAGACUUAUCAAGGACUCCAUUAGACAGGCAUACAGGUCCAUGAAGACACUAAUAUUUAAAGAGUAAUUUCAAAAUGGAUGACUUAGGUCUCAUCUUCCUGAUGCCACCCAGCUGAUCGACAGGUUACUAACUUUGUCAAAUUCUCCGCCUCGAUUGUAAGCUCAAGGUAUACAUGUUUUGAUAAUUAAUUUGAUCCCUAGACUUAUACAAGUGAGCUUUAAUCUUAUUUAGAAUGUUGGAUCAAUCUGUAUCUCAUUUUUGAACUUUUGAUCGUCAUGUAAAAUCAGUGGAGCAUUAUCGUUAUUCGUAGAUAUGAACGAAGGACUUCAGUAAUACAAUGUUUGGAAAGCUACAGUGCACAGUUGGUUUUUCCUCAUCUUAUUCACAGGCUGCUUGCGCCAAGACUGUGCCGUUCCUGGAGCGCGAUGGACUGAUUGUACAUGGCUGCUGGGUACAAUGAGCUCUUCAUCUUCCUCAUCUC
Long non-coding RNA from Hordeum vulgare subsp. vulgare (domesticated barley), 594 nucleotides. RefSeq lists it as uncharacterized. The record is from RefSeq and is a predicted model, not a curated record. Lineage: Eukaryota; Viridiplantae; Streptophyta; Magnoliopsida; Poales; Poaceae. The transcript is spliced from 4 exons.